AGUGAACGCUGGCGGUAGGCCUAACACAUGCAAGUCGAACGGCAGCACAGUAAGAGCUUGCUCUUACGGGUGGCGAGUGGCGGACGGGUGAGGAAUACAUCGGAAUCUACUUUUUCGUGGGGGAUAACGUAGGGAAACUUACGCUAAUACCGCAUACGACCUACGGGUGAAAGCAGGGGAUCUUCGGACCUUGCGCGAUUGAAUGAGCCGAUGUCGGAUUAGCUAGUUGGCGGGGUAAAGGCCCACCAAGGCGACGAUCCGUAGCUGGUCUGAGAGGAUGAGCAGCCACACUGUAACUGAGACACAGUGCACACACCUACGGGAGGCAGCGGUGUGGAAAAUUUGAGAAUGGGCGCAAGCCUGAUCCAGCCAUACCGCGUGUGGGAAGAAGGCCUUCGGGUGUUAUAGCCCUUUUGUUGUGAAAGAAAAGCAGCAGGUGAUUAUCCCGCUGUGCUGUCAGUACCCAAAGAAUAAACACCCCGGAGCUUCGUG
RNAcentral lists this ribosomal RNA (492 nucleotides) under uncultured bacterium. RNAcentral's name for it is "partial 16S ribosomal RNA". It matches the Rfam family "Bacterial small subunit ribosomal RNA", at positions 29 to 507 of the family's 1533-position model. The record is from RNAcentral.